This 251-nucleotide ribosomal RNA is filed under the name uncultured bacterium. RNAcentral's name for it is "partial 16S ribosomal RNA". It matches the Rfam family "Bacterial small subunit ribosomal RNA", at positions 524 to 775 of the family's 1533-position model. The record is from RNAcentral.
GACGAACCGUACGAACGUUAUUCGGAAUUACUGGGCUUAAAGGGUGCGUAGGCGGCGCAGUAAGUUGGGUGUGAAAUCCUCGGCUUAACCGAGGAAUUGCGCCCAAAACUACUGUGCUCGAGGGAGAUAGAGGUGAGCGGAACUUAGGGUGGAGCGGAUGAAUGCGUUGAUAUCCUAAGGAACACCGGUGGCGAAAGCGGCUCACUGGAUCUCUUCUGACGCUGAGGCACGAAAGCUAGGAUAGCAACGGG